RNAcentral lists this ribosomal RNA (261 nucleotides) under uncultured bacterium. RNAcentral's name for it is "partial 16S ribosomal RNA". It matches the Rfam family "Bacterial small subunit ribosomal RNA", at positions 15 to 272 of the family's 1533-position model. The record is from RNAcentral.
GAUCCUGGCUCAGGAUGAACGCUAGCUACAGGCUUAACACAUGCAAGUCGAGGGGCAGCAUGACCUAGCAAUAGGUUGAUGGCGACCGGCGCACGGGUGAGAAACACGUAUCCAACCUACCGGUUAUUCCGGGAUAGCCUUUCGAAAGAAAGAUUAAUACCGGAUAGUAUAACGAGAAGGCAUCUUCUUGUUAUUAAAGAAUUUCGAUAACCGAUGGGGAUGAGUUCCAUUAGUUUGUUGGCGGGGUAACGGCCCACCAAG